UUUAGGAGGUUGUCUACUAAAAGUGGGAGUUUGUACGGGUGGGUGUUCCGGUUCAUUAGUAGCAGGACUAGUAGGUGUAUCAUCUAAAUCUACCGUAGCUUGGGUUUCGUCAUCAUCAUCAUCCUCAUUUUCCUCUAAGAUAGGUGCAUUAGGAUAAACAAUAUUCAUAAUAUCAUCGUCUAUUCUAUCACCAACUGCUACAUCAUGUAGAAAAUCAACAUCGCUAAAUUGAAAACAUGGG
RNAcentral lists this long non-coding RNA (241 nucleotides) under Nicotiana benthamiana. Its description in RNAcentral is "long non-coding RNA (NBEN_LNC034958)". Lineage: Eukaryota; Viridiplantae; Streptophyta; Magnoliopsida; Solanales; Solanaceae. The record is from RNAcentral.